This 549-nucleotide long non-coding RNA is filed under the name Marmota monax (woodchuck). The record is from RNAcentral. Lineage: Eukaryota; Metazoa; Chordata; Mammalia; Rodentia; Sciuridae.
GGGAAGUAAGGGUUGGUUACUGGAGGUUCUCGGUUAGUGGCGGGUCGUCCUGCGCCGGCUGGCGUUCGGAGAAAACUGCCCUUUUUCUUCUCCAGUACUCCCUUGCUGCCCAUCUUGGGAUGGAUCCCUAGGCUUCCUAGGAUCAGGGAAGGAUUAGGUGAGGUGCAAGAGUGCGCUAAGGGACUGACCUAAAGAACUGCCUUUGGUGGAAUGCUGGAUAGGUUACUCCGAAAGCGUGCAAUGGAAUUGCUCUGUGACUGAAGCAUUGUAAAGAUUUGAUUGAUUUCUUAUAAUCUGAUAUUUCUGAACCCAUGGACAGUAAUAUUGAAACGCCUUUAUCACAUCUUUUGGAACAUUUGGAUGGUAAGUGGAAAAUUAAACAAAUGAAAAACGAUGCUGUCUUCAACUCCAGAGAAAAUAGAAGAUUGUACAAUAAGGGGAAAAAUCAUAGCCUACUACUUAGCUCUUUAACAAAGAGUAUUUGGAUAGUCAUAAUGGAAACUCUGCUGAUUUAAUAAAAAUUUAAGGUUUUAUCAGACAAGAAUGGAU